This 104-nucleotide small nuclear RNA is filed under the name Tortispora caseinolytica NRRL Y-17796. The record is from RNAcentral. Lineage: Eukaryota; Fungi; Ascomycota; Trigonopsidomycetes; Trigonopsidales; Trigonopsidaceae.
GUCCCACUUGUGGGACAUAUGGUCAAUUUGAAACGAUACAGAGAAGAUUAGCAUGGCCCCUGCAUAAGGAUGACACGCUUUACAAAGAGAUUUAACGUUUUUUU